RNAcentral lists this ribosomal RNA (260 nucleotides) under uncultured bacterium. RNAcentral's name for it is "partial 16S ribosomal RNA". It matches the Rfam family "Bacterial small subunit ribosomal RNA", at positions 333 to 610 of the family's 1533-position model. The record is from RNAcentral.
GAACUCCUACGGGACGCAGCAGUGGGGGAUAUUGCACAAUGGGGGAAACCCUGAUGCAGCGACGCCGCGUGAGUGAAGAAGUAAUUCGUUACGUAAAGCUCUAUCAGCAGGGAAGAAAAUGACGGUACCUGACUAAGAAGCCCCGGCUAACUACGUGCCAGCAGCCGCGGUCAUACGUAGGGGGCAAGCGUUAUCCGGAAUUACUGGGUGUAAAGGGAGCGCAGACGGCAGUGCAAGUCUGGAGUGGAAGCUCGUGGCUU